UGUGGGAGGCUAAAGGAAAAAAGAAAUCAGUAGCUUUUAAAGCUAGGCCUCGCUGCGACUCCGCAGAUAAUGAAAGCCGUCUGUGUUGUGGGCUAGAGAGCAUUUCAAAGGCAGGCCUGACUCAGGGUUACGCUGCUAAAAAACCUGCGUGUGUUUGUUUUGUGCGGAGAGCGGAUCCAGUCUUCAACGGCGUACGGACGCGAAGGAGGACGCCCGCUUUCUGCUGGAAACCGUUAUUAAACGCGUGGGAAUCUAAGAGGACUUGAGCCGGCUUCCCUUCGCGGGAGACGUUCGAGUGGAAAGCCGCUACUUUUCUUUUUUUUUUUUCCCGUGCCGCUUCUUGGUGGAAUAUUGCCGGAAGACGGCUGCGGAGGGACUGAGGCGGGUGAGAGCAGCCGCGCGGCGAGCACUCGGAAGCGGGCACGCCUGGCGAGUGGACGCUGACGGAUCGCGAGAGCGGCCGCCGGCGAGGAGCGCGGCCGGGGAAGAGCGCCUGCUCGCCGGGGCGCGCCUGCGAGGAUCCUCCCGGGGAGGCAGACGGAGCUCUGGAUGUGUCGGUCGGUCAAACUGAGCUGGAAACGAGGACUGUGAGCGACACCGCAUCGUUUAAGUUUCUUGCCUGUAAAUCUCUGCUCUGCUUGGGGAGAUAAAACGGCCCAAAUGAAAUGAAGACGCACUUCAAGUAUUUUUUUCUACUCAAGCAUGGCGGUGAUAAUUGGAUUGUGUGGACACCUGUAUGAGUGCAGUAUAUCCAGGGGAUUAGAGAACGGGAUGGCUUUUGCAGGUUCUGUCCAAACCUGCGGGCUGAAUUCUCCCGAGUCGUCGUCUCUCGCAAGAGGACCAGAUCUGGGGGGGGGACGCCGGUGUCAACUUUGACCUCUGAGUAAAUUCACGCGAUUGCUGGAUCCACGCAAAAAUGAUACGGCGACCCUUUCAACCAAACGAAACUCCAAUCUGUUAUGGUAAAAAAAAAUAUUUGAAUGCAAGAUAACUGAUUGUCUUUUAAAGUAAUUCAUCACUUUGAUUCUUUGUUUGAUACAUCAUGUGAGAAUAGUUUUGAAAUGUUUGUAGAUUUAUAUAGUUAUAUAUAUUUAUAUAUUUUACACAACAAAGUUGAAGACACAGAAGCUUUAUACUAUAUAUAUAUAUAUAUAUAUAUAUAUAUAUAUAUAUAUAUAUAUAUAUAUAUAUAUAUAUAUAUAUAUAUAUAUAUGCUGCACUUUUAAGCCAGUUUAGCCAGCAAGUCUUUGAUUGGCUCACGUGUCUGUGAAGCUUUUAUUGUAAAACAAUGUGAUAAAAGAUGCUUUGUCAUGCAAUGCUCAUAUGAAAAAGGAAAUUGCUCUGUGCAGGUCAGUGACUUAUGUUUAAUAAUAUUAAAAUAAUAAAAUUCAAUGUCAGUUUAUUGUUUGUCUGUUUCACCUGUCACAAUUUUGGGAUGUUUUUUCUGUAACUGCCUUAAUAUUUGUGAAUAUUAUAUAUGGAAUUAAUGAUGGUGUAUAAUGAGAGUAAAACUUUUUUAAUAAUCUA
Molecule: long non-coding RNA, 1527 nt
Organism: Puntigrus tetrazona (Sumatra barb)
Lineage: Eukaryota; Metazoa; Chordata; Actinopteri; Cypriniformes; Cyprinidae
Exons: 5
Source: RefSeq, a predicted model, not a curated record